AGGACGAACGCUGGCGGCGCGCUUAACACAUGCAAGUCGAACGGGGUUCGCCCUUCGGGGUGGGCUUAGUGGCGAACGGGUGCGUAACACGUGAGCAACCUGCCCAUGCAUGGGGGAUAACCCGGGGAAACCCGGGCUAAUACCGCAUACGUUCUCCGGGUGGAGUCACCUGGAGAGGAAAGCUCCUCUAAAGGGAGCGUGCGUGGAGGGGCUCGCGGCGUAUCAGGUAGAUGGUGAGGUAACGGCUCACCAUGCCUACGACGCGUAGCCGAUCUGAGAGGAUGAUCGGCCACAUUGGGACUGAGAUACGGCCCAGACUCCUACGGGAGGCAGCAGUGGGAAUCUGCGCAAUGGGCGAAAGCCUGACGCAGCGACGCCGCGUGGCGGAGGAAGCUCUUCGGGUGUAAACCGCGUGGUCGGGGGAAGAACGGGCGGUGGGAGGCGAAGUGCCGUGCGUUUUGACCGGUACCCCAGACGGAAGCACCGGCUAACUCUGUGCCAGCAGCCG
Molecule: ribosomal RNA, 508 nt
Filed under: uncultured soil bacterium
Lineage: Bacteria
Description: bacterial SSU rRNA
Rfam family: Bacterial small subunit ribosomal RNA
Source: RNAcentral